AAAUAACCAUGUUUCCCAAAGAAAAAUGAUAUCAUUAGGUUGCAUAUGUGUCAUGUGUGGAGAAGAACCCUCUAGCUAGUCCGUCACCUAUCCUUUCACCUUAAUUCAUGCUUUUGUCAAUUCUGUGAUUUAUUUAAGUUUAAUUUACUUCUCGUCAAAACCAAACCCCCCCCCAUUAUUAAAUUAUAUUAUUUAGUUAGUGUUCAUUGUUGUUAGUCUUUUAAUUCAAUUUCCGUCCAUUUUAGUUCCUAGUGUCUAAUUUGAUUGUUUUCAUUAUUUUGAGUCAUUCUAAGUGUGUUUCGAGUUAUUAGAGUUUUUAGCCUAGUUUUGUGUCCUUGAGUCUUGUUUAAUAUUUUUAAAUUAACUUAGAAUAGAUUAGCAAUCCCUCCUAAUCCCCGGCCUAGAACGAUACCCUACUUACAUCUAUACUACAAUUGUCAAAAAGAGGGUUUAAUUUGUGUGUCAAGUAAUUCUCACAUCAGUAUGCACUCAAAACAAAACAUUACCCAUGAAAUUCAAAGCCUAGUAGUUAGGUGAACCAAGACUCAACUCAAAACAAAGUGAGUUGAGAAAAUUAUACCUUUGUUGAUUCCUCUUUGCAUAAGCAAAGGAUAAUCACCCAAGAGAUAGGGCCUUCAUUCCUUGCUUCUUAGCUCCAUGGAUUUGGAUGGAAGAAUUGGUUUCUCCAAGUUCUCAAAGUUGAGAACUUCUAAGUCUCUUGAGAACUUCUAAGUCUCCACACCAAGGAAGGAUUGAUGAAGAAAUGAGUGACCUAGAGGAAGUAAGAUUG
This 790-nucleotide long non-coding RNA is filed under the name Malus domestica (apple). Its description in RNAcentral is "long non-coding RNA (MDOM_LNC007572)". Lineage: Eukaryota; Viridiplantae; Streptophyta; Magnoliopsida; Rosales; Rosaceae. The record is from RNAcentral.